RNAcentral lists this long non-coding RNA (527 nucleotides) under Ananas comosus (pineapple). RNAcentral's name for it is "long non-coding RNA (ACOM_LNC034862)". The record is from RNAcentral. Lineage: Eukaryota; Viridiplantae; Streptophyta; Magnoliopsida; Poales; Bromeliaceae.
UUUUAGGCCAGAAUACCAUCUACGACCUUCCAUCAAGUGUGGAAAAGUUUGGAGUCCACAUCAAACACUCGAACCUCGCAAUUCGCACAGGUCCAGUGUGUUACAGCCAAUUUUGCCCUUAACUUAAGGGCAAAUAAGAAAUGUUGAUGACGGUAGAGGAGUAUAUUUGAAAAGAUCAAAAAUCAAAAUAAUUUUUGUAUCCCUGACUUUAAGGGCAAAUAAGAAAGUCGGUGAUGGUGAAAGGGUAUAUUUGAAAGAGCAAAAUAGUAAUUUUACAAAGAUAAGAAAGUUAAUUAACAGAUUUAACUCUAUGGGUAUAUUAGAAAUAGGUUGGAACGUAAAAAGUGUAUUUUCAAUAUUAGCCUUCUAAGAGGAGUAAAUCGGAAAGUUGGAAACCUUUCAGAGAUAUAUAAGCAAUUGCCCCAAAAUUUUAUGGGGAUAAUUUUCAUGCUAUAUGAUCUCAUCCACCAUCUAUUUAUUCCGUGAUCAAUGCUAGUCUACAUGAUAGAUAGUAGAUAAGUCCAUAA